Molecule: long non-coding RNA, 1377 nt
Filed under: Equus caballus (horse)
Lineage: Eukaryota; Metazoa; Chordata; Mammalia; Perissodactyla; Equidae
Description: lncRNA (ENSECAG00000036894.3)
Source: RNAcentral
AAGGCACCGGGCCGUUCCACAGUUGGAAGGGCUAGCCUUUUGCUCCCUGACAACACAAGCAGAGGCAGCAUGACUUCCUGGCAACAACCUUCCCUCUUACUUUCAUCUGAAACCUUUCUACCUUCUAGCUGGCAAAUCUAUAGGAAGUGCAUCUGCUCUAAAGUCCUGGUGCUCGGAUGGAGCUCAUUCUAGCCUGAGGCCCCGCUGCAGACAGGACCGAGGCCCUUGACACUGCCAGGAGGCCGUCACCCAAGUCUUUGUGGUGGUGGACUACCUUGACACGGCAGGUGGCAAGAGCACUUCUCGCGUCAAGAAAGUUCAAUCCAGAUCAGAGAGAAGGAACGACCCCAGAAGCAAACUGUCGAGCCCCUGGGCCUCUCUCCUCUUGCAUAACAAGUUCCACACCCCUGUCCAGCCCAACCCCCACCCUUGAAGGCCAUCUCUGCAGACUUCCUGAUUCCAGUGGUGCCACAUGUGACUUGACCAAGGCACCCUCCGCUGGCAGCCUCGGGCCCCCAGGGUCUGCAUCAGCUGGGCUGAGUGCCUUCAUCGCUCGAAGCUUCUCCAUCAGCGAGGGGCGCAGGAACACUGUUUCGGGGCUGCUACCUCAUUGUCUGAGGAGGAGCGGCUUGACUGGAGGUAUAUCCAAUCUCUGUAUUACCAUGCUCUGUUAUCAUGGCGUCCCACCGCAUCUUCCUUGGGUUUAAUGAACAGCACCAGAGUGACUCCUUCACUUCCCAGGACCAUCUCAGGAAUUUUUAAAUCGGAGCAUGAGGCUGAUGGGAAGUGGCUCUCCCGACCAGCAGGAACAUCUAUGGGGCAGCUGUGACGUGACUGAGGGUAGUGUUUGCUGAUAGGCCCUGCUAAUAAUCCAGUGAGAUGCUGGCAUUCUUGGCAGGGCCCAGAAAGAGCAGCAACAGACCAACAGCUCUCCUGGCCGCUAAGGCCCCUGUAAGAUUCCUGAUCCUUGCUGUUCCUGAGCAGAGGAGAUUGGGAAGUUCUGUGAGCCCAGCUGGGCCAUCCUACCUCCUGCAGAUGGGAGUUUUUGUCAAGAAACCUUGGUCACUAGCUGGUUUACAUAUAUCCCGUAGAAAGGUUUAAUCCGCCUUUGAAGCUACUCGCUGGAGCAGAGCUUGAUAGUAGAGCCAGGAGAAAAGGAAUUCCUGGGGAGAUGGUCCUUUGCACCAGCACUGCCUCAUCGCAAGGGGAGGGACUGAAGCUCUUCCAGCCUAGUCCAGUCCUGGCGGCGUGGGCCACAGAGUCAGUGGACCUCCGCCUGCUGGUCUGCCGCCUCCUCCGGGCUGCACCUCUCACUCUUUGACCCUUUAGGGCAGGUGCUUGUCCUGAUAGAAGAAACCCCUGGAGCCCCAUCUGUGC